Long non-coding RNA from Canis lupus familiaris (dog), 275 nucleotides. RefSeq lists it as uncharacterized. The transcript has 2 exons. Lineage: Eukaryota; Metazoa; Chordata; Mammalia; Carnivora; Canidae. The record is from RefSeq and is a predicted model, not a curated record.
UAGUGUGCCAGUUAGAAGGGAGUCAUGAGAGUAAGUAAAAUGAAGUGCAAAUAACUGCCUAAUUAGGUGUCCAUGAAAACUGAAGAGUCUCCAAAGUCAUUAAAGAUGACCAUGCGAAACAGGCAGCCUUGUAGACUAAGAAUUAAUGCUUUCAUAACCUUCACAGCAGGAAGGUGGCUGGGAGAUUCCACGUAGAUCCCCAGAAGACUGGUUAACCUGGAUAAAGCCAUUCAAGGCAAUCAGAUAAGUAAAAUCUGAAAGAAAAGAAAGAAAGA